AAAAAUCCAAAAAAACAAGGAGCGUCUGAUCAAGCCUCAUUAAUUGAUGUGGCUGAUCAGACGGUCCACAUGCGCGCUUCCAUGGUAUACCAAAAUCAUUAGCGAAACACAUGGCAUUAUUAAAAGUCAAUCAAACGGAGCGUUGAGAUUAGAUCAGAGUCAAAGGAUCCAAUGGCCAUGGACUCAUCCACGUGGGGACGGUGGUGGAAACCACCGUCUUCUCCGGUGAGACUCAC
Molecule: long non-coding RNA, 236 nt
Filed under: Lathyrus oleraceus (garden pea)
Lineage: Eukaryota; Viridiplantae; Streptophyta; Magnoliopsida; Fabales; Fabaceae
Description: Pisum sativum (pea) long non-coding RNA (PSAT_LNC023569)
Source: RNAcentral